RNAcentral lists this ribosomal RNA (115 nucleotides) under Wenzhouxiangella sp. XN79A. Lineage: Bacteria; Pseudomonadati; Pseudomonadota; Gammaproteobacteria; Chromatiales; Wenzhouxiangellaceae. The record is from RNAcentral.
CCUGGUGGCAAUAGCGCUGUGGAACCACCCGAUCCCAUCCCGAACUCGGAAGUGAAACGCAGUAGCGCCGAUGGUAGUGUGGGGUUUCCCAUGUGAGAGUAGGUCACCGCCAGGC